UCAGACUGAGACAAGACGGCCAUGGAAUGGACGGUGGAGACCUUGAUCUUGCCACCAAGAGAGGCAGCGUUAAGCGCGUUUUCCAUAUUUUGCAUUGCGGAUAAUAGUUGAGAGAUCAAGUUUUGGUCCCCAGACAACACUACCUCGUUACCAAUGGUGAUGAGAAUGAUGUUGCUAGCCGGGUAAUAGGGCAAGACGUUCGAGUUGACCCACUGAGUGGCUGAGUUGGGAUCGGAAGCCAAAGCUGGGAUAUCACCAUUUCCAGCUCCAAUGACGAUGCCAAUCCCAGUAUUGGCAAGAGCCUUAAGAACCGCUGGAUCGGCCCCGUAGAGCCUCACUUUCUGUAUAGCCGUCGAUUGCAGAAGUUUAGCGGUGGCCGCCGGUGGUGGUAGGUUGUCAGCAACCAAACCAUAAUUAAUGCCAAUAAACGACUGCGACCUGGCUAACAAGAAGAAAGCUUGGAAGAGGAAAAAGAGCACGAUAAGCCUUGAAAACGCCAUGUUAUCUGUUUCUUUCUUCUUCUUCCUAUUUCUUGAUGGUGCAGACUCCUAGUUCUAGUAAUGUGGAAAAUGGGUUUUUGGGGGUCUGAAAGGACAAAGAAGCCGGGAACUAUGGAAGGGAAUGUGAGGAGAGAGAGAGAGAGAGAGAGAGAG
This 653-nucleotide unclassified non-coding RNA is filed under the name Hevea brasiliensis (rubber tree). Lineage: Eukaryota; Viridiplantae; Streptophyta; Magnoliopsida; Malpighiales; Euphorbiaceae. The record is from RNAcentral.